AUUGAACGCUGGCGGCAGGCCUAACACAUGCAAGUCGAGCGGAAGAAGGGAGCAUGCUCCUGGUUUCCGCGGCGGACGGGUGCGUAAUGCCUAUGAAUCUGCAAGGUCGUGGGGGAUAACGUCCGGAAAUGGGAGCUAAUACCGCAUCCGUCUUGAGGGUGAAAGUGGGAGAUCUUCGGAUUCCACGCUCUCACAUUAGCCUAGGUCGGAUUAGCUAGUUGGUGGGGUAAAGGCCUACCAAGGCGACGAUCCGUAACUGGUCUGAGAGGAUGAUCAGUCACACUGGAACUGAGACACGGUCCAGACUCCUACGGGAGGCAGCAGUGGGGAAUAUUGGACAAAGGGCGAAAGCCUGAUCCAGCCAUGCCGCAUGUGUGAAGAAGGUCUUCGGAUUGUAAAGCACUUUAAGUUGGGAGGAAGGGCAGUAAGUUAAUACCUUGCUGUUUUGACGUUACCAACAGAAUAAGCACCGGCUAACUUCGUG
RNAcentral lists this ribosomal RNA (484 nucleotides) under uncultured bacterium. Its description in RNAcentral is "partial 16S ribosomal RNA". It matches the Rfam family "Bacterial small subunit ribosomal RNA", at positions 30 to 507 of the family's 1533-position model. The record is from RNAcentral.